Molecule: ribosomal RNA, 516 nt
Filed under: uncultured Entrophospora
Lineage: Eukaryota; Fungi; Glomeromycota; Glomeromycetes; Entrophosporales; Entrophosporaceae
Description: SSU rRNA
Rfam family: Eukaryotic small subunit ribosomal RNA
Source: RNAcentral
AGCAGCCGCGGUAAUUCCAGCUCCAAUAGCGUAUAUUAAAGUUGUUGCAGUUAAAAAGCUCGUAGUUGAAUUUCGGGAUUGGCGCAUCGGUCGUGCCUCACGGGGUAUGAACUGGUGCAGUCAAUUUCUCACCUUCUGGAGAACCGCGAUGUCCUUAAUUGGAUGCCGCGGGGAACCAGGACCUUUACUUUGAAAAAUUAGAGUGUUUAAAGCAGGCAUUUUUGCUUGAAUACAUUAGCAUGGAAUAAUAAAAUAGGACGGCAUGGUUCUAUUUUGUUGGUUUCUAGGACCACCGUAAUGAUUAAUAGGGAUAGUUGGGGGCAUUAGUAUUCAAUUGUCAGAGGUGAAAUUCUUGGAUUUAUUGAAGACUAACUACUGCGAAAGCAUUUGCCAAGGAUGUUUUCAUUAAUCAAGAACGAAAGUUAGGGGAUCGAAGACGAUCAGAUACCGUCGUAGUCUUAACCAUAAACUAUGCCGACUAGGAAUCAGACGAUGUUAAUUUUUAAUGUACUCGUU